GAAACGACUGCUAAUACCGCAUAAGCCCACGGAUCCGCAUGGAUCUGCGGGAAAAGGAUUUAUUCGCUUCAGGAUGGACUCGCGUCCAAUUAGCUAGUUGGUGAGGUAACGGCCCACCAAGGCGACGAUUGGUAGCCGGACUGAGAGGUUGAACGGCCACAUUGGGACUGAGACACGGCCCAGACUCCUACGGGAGGCAGCAGUGGGGGAUAUUGCACAAUGGGGGAAACCCUGAUGCAGCGACGCCGCGUGGAGGAAGAAGGUUUUCGGAUUGUAAACUCCCGUCGUUAGGGACGAUAAUGACGGUACCUAACAAGAAAGCACCGGCUAACUACGUGCCAGCAGCCGCGGUAAAACGUAGGGUGCAAGCGUUGUCCGGAAUUACUGGGUGUAAAGGGAGCGCAGGCGGACCGGCAAGUUGGAAGUGAAAACUAUGGGCUCAACCCAUAAAUUGCUUUCAAAACUGCUGGCCUUGAGUAGUGCAGAGGUAGGUGGAAUUCCCGGUGUAGCGGUGGAAUGCGUAGAUAUCGGGAGGAACACCAGUGGCGAAGGCGACCUACUGGGCACCAACUGACGCUGAGGCUCGAAAGCAUGGGUAGCAAACAGGAUUAGAUACCCUGGUAGUCCAUGCCGUAAACGAUGAUUGCUAGGUGUUGGAGGAUUGACCCCUUCAGUGCC
This 678-nucleotide ribosomal RNA is filed under the name uncultured bacterium. RNAcentral's name for it is "bacterial SSU rRNA". It matches the Rfam family "Bacterial small subunit ribosomal RNA", at positions 153 to 847 of the family's 1533-position model. The record is from RNAcentral.